UCCUGGGGCUGAAGUAGGUCCCAAGGGUAUGGCUGUUCGCCAUUUAAAGUGGUACGCGAGCUGGGUUUAGAACGUCGUGAGACAGUUCGGUCCCUAUCUGCCGUGGGCGCUGGAGAACUGAGGGGGGCUGCUCCUAGUACGAGAGGACCGGAGUGGACGCAUCACUGGUGUUCGGGUUGUCAUGCCAAUGGCACUGCCCGGUAGCUAAAUGCGGAAGAGAUAAGUGCUGAAAGCAUCUAAGCACGAAACUUGCCCCGAGAUGAGUUCUCCCUGACUCCUUGAGAGUCCUGAAGGAACGUUGAAGACGACGACGUUGAUAGGCCGGGUGUGUAAGCGCAGCGAUGCGUUGAGCUAACCGGUACUAAUGAACCGUGAGGCUUAACCUUACAACGCCGAAGCUGUU
RNAcentral lists this ribosomal RNA (403 nucleotides) under Escherichia coli. RNAcentral describes it as "bacterial LSU rRNA". It matches the Rfam family "Bacterial large subunit ribosomal RNA", at positions 2545 to 2925 of the family's 2925-position model. Lineage: Bacteria; Pseudomonadati; Pseudomonadota; Gammaproteobacteria; Enterobacterales; Enterobacteriaceae. The record is from RNAcentral.